Molecule: long non-coding RNA, 728 nt
Organism: Populus euphratica (Euphrates poplar)
Lineage: Eukaryota; Viridiplantae; Streptophyta; Magnoliopsida; Malpighiales; Salicaceae
Exons: 3
Source: RefSeq, a predicted model, not a curated record
ACUAGAACUGUGCUAACAAGAAAGCAUCUCUUACUUGACUGGAUCCAUCAUCUUAAUCUUCUUUCAUUAAUGAGCCAAUCCUUUUUAUCUAUCUGUGCUGUGUUUUCAAAGCCUAUCUGUCUCGCCUAGACACUCUCCAUUGAAGAUUUGGUCUCUCGUUUAGAAUUUAACCCUUGUACACGUUCACCUUCCUUAUGAUACACCAUGAAUUUUCCCUUGACUCUUCUUUUCACUUUACUGUUUGUCUCCUUCUCCCACCUCAUUCUUCAUUCAAGUUUGGCCAUGGAAAAGCUUGAAGAUACCGGAAAUACCAAAAUGAAAUCAUCAAAUCUUAAAGUCAAGUCAUUUGCAGAUCAAGGCGAUCGUGUUCAAAGGAAAUACUUGCAUGAAGUACAUUCAGGACCUAAUCCUAUCAGUAAUUCCGUUCCUCCACAAAAGUGGAAAACAAGGAUUCGGGGAAGUCCAUAAAUUCUUUCGUUUCAUCAUUUCUGUCAACUAGACUUGCAACAUUAUGAAAAAACAUUAGCAGAUCGCUUAUUUAUUGAUGCCUUUUUUGACUUGCUAUCAUUACAGCAACAGUCAUCAUCAUCAUCAUUUGUUCUAUCAUUUGAAUUGAGCUGAUAAACAUUAGUAAUUCAAACGUUAUUCAAUAUCCCAGCAACAUAUAUAGUCGUGCUGUACUGUAUUAAUUUUGAAGCAAUGAUGCCAAAAUAAUGUAUUGCUGUGCA